Molecule: non-coding RNA, 181 nt
Organism: Geobacter metallireducens GS-15
Lineage: Bacteria; Pseudomonadati; Thermodesulfobacteriota; Desulfuromonadia; Geobacterales; Geobacteraceae
Rfam family: 6S / SsrS RNA
About the family: E. coli 6S RNA was the first non coding RNA to be sequenced, but its function was unknown until recently.
Source: Rfam
UUCUCUCUGCCAUGCGCGUCAGGCUGAUAUGCCCCAGCGGAACAUUUACGUAAGACGGGGGUUCUUUCUACCGUGGUGUGCUGCCCCAUCAUGUGGGAUUUGCCUGAAGCGGUACAGAGCCUGCCACCUGUAAGGAACUCGCUGUGAGGCCCUUACAAGCCAACGGCAUGGUGGAGGGAUU